Molecule: ribosomal RNA, 433 nt
Filed under: uncultured bacterium
Lineage: Bacteria
Description: partial 16S ribosomal RNA
Rfam family: Bacterial small subunit ribosomal RNA
Source: RNAcentral
AAUGAACGCUGGCGGCAUGCCUAACACAUGCAAGUCGAACGAAGGCUUCGGCCUUAGUGGCGCACGGGUGCGUAACGCGUGGGAAUCUGCCCCUUGGUUCGGAAUAACAGUUAGAAAUGACUGCUAAUACCGGAUGAUGACGUAAGUCCAAAGAUUUAUCGCCGAGGGAUGAGCCCGCGUAGGAUUAGCUAGUUGGUGUGGUAAGAGCGCACCAAGGCGACGAUCCUUAGCUGGUCUGAGAGGAUGAUCAGCCACACUGGGACUGAGACACGGCUCAGACUCCUACGGGAAGCAGCAGUGGGGAAUAUUGGACAAUGGGCGAAAGCCUGAUCCAGCAAUGCCGCGUGAGUGAUGAAGGCCUUAGGGUUGUAAAGCUCUUUUACCCGGGAUGAUAAUGACAGUACCGGGAGAAUAAGCUCCGGCUAACUCCGUG